GGAGUUAGGAAAUGCAGAGGUGUUAAUAGCGCCUUUGCUUGACUAAGGCUCCAGAGGAAGCCACGGCUAACUCUGUGCCAGCAGCCGCGGUAAUACAGAGGCGGCAAGCGUUGUUCGGAAUUAUUGGGCGUAAAGAGCACGUAGGCGGCCUUGCGAGUCAGUUGUGAAAGCCUUCCGCUUAACGGAAGAAUGCCAGCUGAUACUACAGGGCUUGAGUACGGGAGGGGAGAGUGGAACUUCUGG
RNAcentral lists this ribosomal RNA (243 nucleotides) under uncultured anaerobic ammonium-oxidizing bacterium. Its description in RNAcentral is "partial 16S ribosomal RNA". It matches the Rfam family "Bacterial small subunit ribosomal RNA", at positions 439 to 673 of the family's 1533-position model. The record is from RNAcentral.